CAGUAGCCACGGUAAUACGGAGGGCGCGAGCGUUACCCGGAUUUACUGGGCGUAAAGGGCGUGUAGGCGGCCUGGGGCGUCCCAUGUGAGAGGCCACGGCUCAACCGUGGAGGAGCGUGGGAUACGCUCAGGCUAGAGGGUGGGAGAGGGUGGUGGAAUUCCCGGAGUAGCGGUGAAAUGCGCAGAUACCGGGAGGAACGCCGAUGGCGAAGGCAGCCACCUGGUCCACUUCUGACGCUGAGGCGCGAAAGCGUGGGGAGCAAACCGGAUUAGAGACCCCUGUAGUCCCUGUCUCUUAUAC
RNAcentral lists this ribosomal RNA (301 nucleotides) under uncultured bacterium. RNAcentral describes it as "partial 16S ribosomal RNA". It matches the Rfam family "Bacterial small subunit ribosomal RNA", at positions 509 to 807 of the family's 1533-position model. The record is from RNAcentral.